GUGUCAGCCGCCGCGGUAAUACGUAGGUGGCAAGCGUUGUCCGGAAUUAUUGGGCGUAAAGGGCUCGCAGGCGGUUCCUUAAGUCUGAUGUGAAAGCCCCCGGCUCAACCGGGGAGGGUCAUUGGAAACUGGGGAACUUGAGUGCAGAAGAGGAGAGUGGAAUUCCAUGUGUAGCGGUGAAAUGCGUAGAUAUAUGGAGGAACACCAGUGGCGAAGGCGGCUCUCUGGUCUGUAACUGACGCUGAGGCUCGAAAGCGUGGGGAGCGAACAGGAUUAGAAACCCGUGUAGUCC
RNAcentral lists this ribosomal RNA (292 nucleotides) under uncultured prokaryote. RNAcentral describes it as "partial 16S ribosomal RNA". It matches the Rfam family "Bacterial small subunit ribosomal RNA", at positions 505 to 796 of the family's 1533-position model. The record is from RNAcentral.